RNAcentral lists this long non-coding RNA (238 nucleotides) under Mytilus galloprovincialis (Mediterranean mussel). The record is from RNAcentral. Lineage: Eukaryota; Metazoa; Mollusca; Bivalvia; Mytilida; Mytilidae.
AUAUUAACUACCACUCCUAAACUGUAUUUCAAACAGAUAUAUCACAUAGUUAUUUCUAGGACGGAUAUUACAUUUUUAUAUGAGCCAUGUCAAAUAGAAAUCUAUCUUAUGCAAGUGCACAUAUACAUGUACUUGUUCACUACUUUGACUGAUUUUGGAAUAUACAAAUUCAACUAGAUGUGUCAAAGCGACACAAAUGGCCCCGUCUCAAAAAAAAAGAGAAAAAUCUGCAAUUUCA